UAAAAGCCUCAAGCCCAGCCGGCUUGGUGUUGGGCGUUUGUCCCGCCUCGGGCGCGGACUCGCCUCAAAAGCAUUGGCGGCCCGUGUAGUUGGCUUCGAGCGCAGCAGACUCGCGCCUCGCAAACGACUGGCACGGGCGUCCAUCAAGACGCACCCCCAAGUUUGACCUCGGAUCAGGUAGGGAUACCCGCUGAACUUAA
This 200-nucleotide unclassified non-coding RNA is filed under the name soil metagenome. RNAcentral describes it as "partial contains internal transcribed spacer 2 and large subunit ribosomal RNA". The record is from RNAcentral.